This is a non-coding RNA of Caenorhabditis elegans, 132 nucleotides long. Lineage: Eukaryota; Metazoa; Nematoda; Chromadorea; Rhabditida; Rhabditidae. The record is from Ensembl.
GAGCUUCACUCGGCACACUUCAUAGGGCGGAGCAACUCAAACUCCCCCUCAUCUUCCUCUCUUGCUUAGCGCCCGUGCGCAAGAAAGGGGGCUCUCCGAUAUCCACACAAUGAACUGUUGCCGAGAGCAUCA